This 339-nucleotide ribosomal RNA is filed under the name uncultured Spirochaetota bacterium. Its description in RNAcentral is "bacterial SSU rRNA". It matches the Rfam family "Bacterial small subunit ribosomal RNA", at positions 29 to 351 of the family's 1533-position model. The record is from RNAcentral. Lineage: Bacteria; Pseudomonadati; Spirochaetota.
AACUAACGCUGGCGGCGCGUCUUAAACAUGCAAGUCGAACGAGAACUCCAGUGCUUGCAUUGGAGGGAAGUGGCGGACGGGUGAGUAACACGUGGAUAAUAUGCCUCCGGGAUGGGAUAACACCGCGAAGCGGUGCUAAUACCGAAUAAGAUGGUAGCUGCUCAAGCAGCAGCCAUUUAAAGGUGGGGACCUUCGGGGCCUACUACCUGGAGAUUAGUCCGCGGCCCAUUAGCUAGUUGGCAGGGUAAUGGCCUACCAAGGCUGCGAUGGGUAGCCGGCCUGAGAGGGCGAUCGGCCACAUUGGGACUGAGAUACGGCCCAAACUCCUACGGGAGGCAG